Molecule: long non-coding RNA, 307 nt
Organism: Drosophila albomicans
Lineage: Eukaryota; Metazoa; Arthropoda; Insecta; Diptera; Drosophilidae
Exons: 4
Source: RefSeq, a predicted model, not a curated record
UCUUGGUUAACCACGUGCGCCAAAAUUCAUUUUCCUUCAACGUUUCGUGAAAGAUGGCUUGAACUUGUAACUAUGGUUAAUGUGCUCGCGCAUUAAAUUGAAACAUGAAUUAUAAGGAUUUGUCCUAAAAGCGCCUAAGAUGGCUUUCCCGUAAUGGAGCCUCUGUGCCUUCAACAUAAAGUGAGGUUAUGGCAAUUACUUUUGAUGCAUUCUUCGGCAUUGAAGUGAAAAGCAUGAUGCAUUUUGCUGAGUCCGGCACUGCUGUACCAUCAAUUUAAACUGAAUAAAUUUGAUUGCAUAAAAAAAA